This is a non-coding RNA of Sciurus carolinensis (gray squirrel), 655 nucleotides long. The record is from the annotation of a RefSeq genome assembly. Lineage: Eukaryota; Metazoa; Chordata; Mammalia; Rodentia; Sciuridae.
GCUUCAGGAACAGAAGGCAGAAUUCAGGAUGACUUCCACCAUGUCCUGGUCCUGUCUCCUCCUCACAUUCUUUGUUCAGUGUUCAGGGUCCUGGGCCCAGUCUGUGCUGAUACAACCGCCCUCACUAUCUGGAUCUCCAGGAGAGAGGCUCACCAUCUCCUGCACUGGAAGCAGCACCAAUAUUGGGGGUGGCUAUAAUGUGCACUGGUAUCAGCAGCUCCCAGGAACAGUCCCCAAACUCCUCAUCUAUAGUAAUAGCAAUAGACCCUCAGGGGUCCCGGAUCGAUUCUCUGGCUCCAAAUCUGGCAGCUCUGGAUCACUGACCAUCGCUGGACUCCAGCCUGAGGAUGAGGCUGACUAUUUCUGUCAGUCUUAUGACGACAGCCUCGAUGCUAACACAGUGCUCCAGUCUCAUGGGGAAAUAAGACAAGAACCCCUUUACCAUCUGCCAGGAGCACAAUCACCAAGCAGCAUUGCUCAGGCCUGGCCCUUGACUGCAGCUGCUACCACUGCUGUAGGCCCAGCUGAAUCUGCUGGCACUUUGUUGAGUGAGGAGCCUCUUCUCUGUCCUCAGAGUCAUUCACAGCAGCAUGCUCCUAGGAAAAUGUCUCCAUAUAAACAGGAAUUCCUGCUCCUCUGUAGCUCAAGGUGUUGA